UUGAAGUUUGCCUAAUCAGAAAUUCUUUCCCAUUUCAUUUGAUGAGUGAACAGCAGUCUGCCUCAUAAUUCAUAAUAGCAUCAGAUAAUAUGACGAAAACCAUGUUUUUGAAAAUCUCAUGUCUGGACAUCAUGUUCUCAUAGCUACAUGAAAAAGAUUUUACUAUGUCUCCUGGGCCGAAUCCUACAUGACAGAAUUAGUUCGUUUACUCUAUCUGCGCCGUGCUGUCACGUGUUUUAUGUUAACAGUGAGUGCUUCGUCACUUUGCGGAAGUUGCUUAUCUUUACGAGGACUGAGACGGCUUGUCAGGAAACGGCGAGCGUCCAGGAAACGACGAGCGGCCGGGAAGCGGCGUCGGGCACGAUGUGAACCGAGUUCCCCUUCCAACGCGACCGGGAGCAUGAGACAGACUUUCGUGCUGACGUGGACACCGAUGCAAAAGUAAAAUGGGUCACCAGUGAGCUACAGAUCAUGGCACAGGAACUCAGAAAAAGCGACCGAUCCAAAUCCGCGGUGGAACCCUGCUGCCAUGCCUGUUCCUGUUCCCUUUACCUGCUCGGAUUCCUUCAACAUGCGGUGCUGUAACAGGAGGGUGCCAAUAAAAGGUCUCUAAUUGAGAAUCGAUGUUAGUGCCGGCGGCACCUGCGGUUGGCUCGCGCGCCCCUGUGACCAUGGAAACGUGCAUGCUCAAGUCACGACGAGACCAGUAGGAUCCCGCCGCCUCGUUAUGUGCGAGCUCGCCAGCUCUUUAGUCACGGGCAAUCAAAGGCGAAGAACGCUCACCAGUUAAUUUAAAUACCACGAACACCAUGCUCUCUAUUUUAUUCUCAGUAGAAGCAUGUGGACUGGUCACUCUGUUAAUAUGGCCACAGUAGGGAUGGGACUCAUUUGAUUGGUAGGCCCAUCAGUUUGCGGGGUCUGGUGUGUUUCCUCUUUCUCCAGACUUCCUGAGCUAUCUACCACAGGUUGAGGCCCAUGUUUACAAUUUUAUCAGCAGCCUUUGUUUUGUGUUAUGCUGAACAAAUGCACUGUGUACACAAUGUUUCAGAUUUUACAUGCCACAUAAAAAUCACCCGCAAAAAAUAGCAGUUAAGUAUUUCAUUAAAAUGCAACAGUAAGUAUUGUCUUUGUUCACAUAAUAGAAAAGAUAACAUGGGCACUGAAGUAGACAAACUGGGACCAUUUGACGCACUAAUAAUUGCAUGGAACAGUACCUCCAGUGUAUUUAUGGACUGCAUCAGAUGUGGGAUCUAUUUUGAGGAGCGGAAUUUUGGAGUGCAAAGAGCAGGUGAUAACAAGAUCCAAUUAUACCGAACUGAACAUGCCAAUUUACAAAGUGAUACCAAUUACAAAUCCCCUCAGAGUAGUUAGUUGGUAUUAGUUAGGUCACAUGACAUGAUUCUUUACACAAACGGAUUGGAACUGGGCGGGGAGUGCUCCUGUGCUGAUUUAUUCUGGAUUGCCGGUCUUUGUAAAACAGUAAUUUACCAGAAACCAGUUGAAAGCGUUACGUAGGUGUGAAUUGUUUGUUAAGGCAGAUCUUGGCAGUUACUAUCUUUGGAUUCAUUGUUGUCAGGUUUAACAUGAAGUUGCUAGAGGUCUGUGCAAAGUGCUUAGCACACCCCAGAUACUCCUUGGGGCACUGAUUAAUUAGAUAAAUAUUCCUGAAAGCCAUUUAGCAUAAGCUUUAAACACAAUACGUUCUAUAAAAUAAACUGUUAACAUCUGAGAAGAAUUGCUCUGGUCAUGUCACAAAACAAAAUUUGUGGUAUUUUUUUUAGAGUUUUCUCUGAGCACACACACAUAAACUGAAGGUGUAAUAACCUGCAGGCCAUAAACAAACAUUCCAUUAAUAAUGAUAUCCUUCUGUAUCUAAAAUGAAAGCAUUUACAUUCCUAUGUGAUAAGGAUAGUAAAAAUGUAUAUAUAUUUUUUUUUUUAAAUCAACGUAAGCAAAAAAUAAUAACAUUAAUCCAUUUCUUUACAGAGAGAGAGAGGCAUUUCUAUUUUCUCACUGGAAAGUUUGGUUUAUUAUGAUGCAAAUAUCCCCACAGAUAUUGUGCAGUUGGUGAAAGAAGUGUUCUGAUAUGAUCACAAAGGCGCUUUAGGAUGUUUCAUUCAAUAAAUGGGAUUUUACUGGGGAUGUCACUGUCUGAAAGAAAAGCUUAACACUAGCAAGAUGUUAGCAUUUAUUCCAAUAUCUAUCUUCAGCAGCAGGUUUAUACAUAUGAAAACAGAGAAAUAAGGAAGUCUAAGAGGAAACAGGGUGGUGUGUGUGUUUUCCUUCACAGGACUCCACCUACAACCCCUGACCUCAAUUACAGUG
Anguilla anguilla (European eel) is the source of this 2325-nucleotide long non-coding RNA. RefSeq lists it as uncharacterized. The record is from RefSeq and is a predicted model, not a curated record. NCBI's taxonomy places the organism in Eukaryota, Metazoa, Chordata, Actinopteri, Anguilliformes, Anguillidae. The transcript is spliced from 3 exons.